GGGCGCGGCGGAAAACGGCUGAGCCCCGGCCGGUCUCGAAGACCGGCCGGGGCUCAGUUCAAGCCUGGGUGCGCGCCC
RNAcentral lists this transfer RNA (78 nucleotides) under Streptomyces xanthochromogenes. RNAcentral describes it as "tRNA-Ser(cga)". The record is from RNAcentral. Lineage: Bacteria; Bacillati; Actinomycetota; Actinomycetes; Kitasatosporales; Streptomycetaceae.